GCCCGUUUGGUUUGGUUAUUUUGGUGCACAUAUUCACAGAUCUUUUAUUUAUUUACAUACCUUUUGUUUUUUCUUGAAUUUUUUAAUUGUUCAAACAUACGUUCUGUCAUAAAAAAAAAGUUCAAACAUACAUAUAUAUUGUUCAUGAAAAAAAAAACUUUGAAGAUAUUAUUUUAAAGAGGACAAUAUGAAUUGAAUGCUAUCAACCAACAUGUUGAUGCCAGAGUGCACC
RNAcentral lists this long non-coding RNA (232 nucleotides) under Elaeis guineensis (African oil palm). Its description in RNAcentral is "long non-coding RNA (EGUI_LNC039937)". Lineage: Eukaryota; Viridiplantae; Streptophyta; Magnoliopsida; Arecales; Arecaceae. The record is from RNAcentral.